AGAGUUUGAUCAUGGCUCAGAUUGAACGCUGGCGGCAUGCCUUACACAUGCAAGUCGAACGGCAGCGCGGGGCAACCUGGCGGCGAGUGGCGAACGGGUGAGUAAUAUAUCGGAACGUGCCCUGGAGUGGGGGAUAACGCAGCGAAAGUUGCGCUAAUACCGCAUACGAUCUAAGGAUGAAAGCAGGGGACCGCAAGGCCUUGUGCUCCUGGAGCGGCCGAUAUCUGAUUAGCUAGUUGGUGGGGUAAAGGCCUACCAAGGCAUCGAUCAGUAGCUGGUCUGAGAGGACGACCAGCCACACUGGAACUGAGACACGGUCCAGACUCCUACGGGAGGCAGCAGUGGGGAAUUUUGGACAAUGGGCGAAAGCCUGAUCCAGCAAUGCCGCGUGAGUGAAGAAGGCCUUCGGGUUGUAAAGCUCUUUUGUCAGGGAAGAAACGGUGUGGGCUAAUAUCCCGCACUAAUGACGGUACCUGAAGAAUAAGCACCGGCUAACUACGUGCCAGCAGCCGCGGUA
Molecule: ribosomal RNA, 517 nt
Filed under: uncultured Pseudomonadota bacterium
Lineage: Bacteria; Pseudomonadati; Pseudomonadota
Description: bacterial SSU rRNA
Rfam family: Bacterial small subunit ribosomal RNA
Source: RNAcentral